This 291-nucleotide non-coding RNA is filed under the name Polaromonas sp. JS666. RNAcentral's name for it is "Region of HEARO RNA that is 5' to ORF location". The stretch from base 1 to 244 matches the Rfam family "HNH endonuclease-associated RNA and ORF (HEARO) RNA". Lineage: Bacteria; Pseudomonadati; Pseudomonadota; Betaproteobacteria; Burkholderiales; Comamonadaceae. The record is from RNAcentral.
GUCAAUCACCCCACCCUAAAGGAUGGAGCAUGGAACUGAAAGGAGCCAAGCCAGGUUGACCAGGGAAAGCGGUAAUCAAUCCGCUACGUUAGCAACAGGUCGUUCAGACACACCAGCGAAUGCUUCCUCAGUUCGCUGCUCUGUAAGGUCUUGAUCACGCUGGACAAAGGUAAAGGUCCGAAGGUCUUGAUCGCAGCUCGCAAGGGCUGGAGCCGCUUGCUGACAUUCCCGAGGGGAGCGUUCUGGCGCGUCCUGAGGCGCACCUGAACCGUCACAAGGCCCGUAAGGGCU